UACGUAGGGGGCAAGCGUUAUCCGGAUUUACUGGGUGUAAAGGGGGCGCAGACGGCGAUGCAAGCCAGGAGUGAAAGCCCGGGGCCCAACCCCGGGACUGCUCUUGGAACUGCGUGGCUGGAGUGCAGGAGGGGCAGGCGGAAUUCCUGGUGUAGCGGUAAAAUGCGUAGAUAUAUGGAAGAACACCAGUGGCGAAGGCGGCCGCCUGGUCUGUAACUGACGCUGAGGUUCGAAAGCGUGGGUAGCAAACAGG
Molecule: ribosomal RNA, 253 nt
Filed under: uncultured Eubacteriales bacterium
Lineage: Bacteria; Bacillati; Bacillota; Clostridia; Eubacteriales
Description: uncultured Clostridiales bacterium partial 16S ribosomal RNA
Rfam family: Bacterial small subunit ribosomal RNA
Source: RNAcentral